UACAGAGGGUGCAAGCGUUGUUCGGAAUUACUGGGCGUAAAGCGCGUGUAGGCGGCAUGUUAAGUCCUGUGUGAAAGCCCUGGGCUCAACCCAGGAAGUGCGCAGGAAACUGGCGUGCUGGAGUGCCGGAGAGGAUGGCGGAAUACCCGGUGUAGAGGUGAAAUUCGUAGAUAUCGGGUGGAACACCUGUGGCGAAGGCGGCCAUCUGGACGGUGACUGACGCUGAGACGCGAAAGCAUGGGGAGCAAACAGG
Molecule: ribosomal RNA, 253 nt
Filed under: uncultured bacterium
Lineage: Bacteria
Description: partial 16S ribosomal RNA
Rfam family: Bacterial small subunit ribosomal RNA
Source: RNAcentral